GAAAUGCGAUAAGUAGUGUGAAUUGCAGAAUUCAGUGAAUCAUCGAAUCUUUGAACGCACAUUGCGCUUCCUGGCAUUCCGGGAAGCAUGCCCGUUUCAGAAUCAUUUAAAACAUCUCAAUGUCUCUUUCAUGGACAUUGGACGUUGGACAGUUUGAUCAAAGCUCUCUGGAUGUUUUUCUGGAGGGCUCAAUUGUCUGAAAAUGAUUGUGCGCACUCCAGCUCUUGCUGGAUAGCUCUUAAGGUGCAAUAAGAUGUCACGUCUAAUUGACUUUCACCUGGUGAGGUAUCCUGUGCGAGGCAGGAGUUUGUGUACUUCUCCAAUUAUACCAGGGUCUGUCCCUGUUAACUUGGUCUGAAAUCGGGCAAGAGAACCCGCUGAACUUAA
This 387-nucleotide unclassified non-coding RNA is filed under the name uncultured Chytridiomycota. RNAcentral describes it as "sequence contains ITS1". The stretch from base 1 to 105 matches the Rfam family "5.8S ribosomal RNA", at positions 50 to 154 of the family's 154-position model. Lineage: Eukaryota; Fungi; Chytridiomycota. The record is from RNAcentral.